This 503-nucleotide ribosomal RNA is filed under the name uncultured bacterium. Its description in RNAcentral is "bacterial SSU rRNA". It matches the Rfam family "Bacterial small subunit ribosomal RNA", at positions 8 to 518 of the family's 1533-position model. The record is from RNAcentral.
AGAAUUUGAUCUUGGUCAGGACGAACGCUGGCGGCGUGCUUAACACAUGCAAGUCGAACGGGCUUAAAGAGGAGCUUGCUUUUCUUAAGUUAGUGGCGGACGGGUGAGUAACGCGUGAGCAACUUGCCUUGGACAGUGGAAUAACACAGGGAAACUUGUGCUAAUACCGCAUGAAGUGCGGAGAGGGCAUCCUUUCUGUACCAAAGGAAGCAAUUCCGGUCUGAGAUGGGCUCGCGUCCGAUUAGAUAGUUGGUGAGGUAACGGCCCACCAAGUCAACGAUCGGUAGCCGGACUGAGAGGUUGGCCGGCCACAUUGGGACUGAGACACGGCCCAGACUCCUACGGGAGGCAGCAGUGGGGAAUAUUAGGCAAUGGGGGCAACCCUGAACCCUAGCAACGCCGCGCGAAGGAUGAAGGUUUUCGGAUUGUAAACUUCUUUGGCAGGGGACGAUAAUGACGGUACCCUGAGAGCAAGCCACGGCUAACUACGUGCCAGCCGCUGC